GGAUGUGAGGACGACCUAGCUGCGACAUCUGUCACCCGUGGAUCGCCAGGGUUGAUCUGGCUGGCUAGGUGUGUGUCCCCUUCCUUCCUUCCUUCCUUCCUUCCUUCCUUCCUUCCUUCCUUCUCCUUCCCUCCCUCCCUCCCUUUCUUCCUUCCUCCCUCACCGCUCCAUGUGUCCCUCCUGAAGCUCCGCGGGACUUCCCCGAAUAGAGGAGGGCAGUGGUAUAAGAGUGGUUGUACUCCCCUGCUAGAACCUCCAAACAAGCUCUCAAGGUAGUGGGAAGGUAAGUCUGGAGAGGUUUUAGCAAGGAGA
Molecule: small nuclear RNA, 312 nt
Filed under: Cricetulus griseus (Chinese hamster)
Lineage: Eukaryota; Metazoa; Chordata; Mammalia; Rodentia; Cricetidae
Description: 7SK RNA
Rfam family: 7SK RNA
About the family: 7SK was discovered as an abundant small nuclear RNA in the mid-70s but a possible function has only recently been suggested. Two independent studies have found that 7SK RNA binds the CDK9/cyclin T complex (known as elongation factor P-TEFb).
Source: Rfam by way of RNAcentral